RNAcentral lists this long non-coding RNA (219 nucleotides) under Elaeis guineensis (African oil palm). Its description in RNAcentral is "long non-coding RNA (EGUI_LNC055817)". The record is from RNAcentral. Lineage: Eukaryota; Viridiplantae; Streptophyta; Magnoliopsida; Arecales; Arecaceae.
AUAGUGGAGUUCGAAAGGCGUUGUGAAAGUUCGUCCGCUGGAGGAGUGUUGAAUUCAAUUCUAUUGUAGAAGUUCAUAUGGAGUCCGAUUCUUGUAGGAGUCCGGAAGGAGGUUGCUUACUGUAGAAGCUCAGAUGAAGAUCGGUUGUCGUAGAAGCUCGGAUGGAGACUUCUUAUUGUAGAAGCUCGGAUAAAAUCCGCUUGCAAUAGAAGUUCGGAG